Molecule: long non-coding RNA, 715 nt
Filed under: Volvox carteri
Lineage: Eukaryota; Viridiplantae; Chlorophyta; Chlorophyceae; Chlamydomonadales; Volvocaceae
Description: long non-coding RNA (VCAR_LNC000655)
Source: RNAcentral
UAUUAUUGAAGAUAAUAUAAUUAUAGGAGGGUUGAUAGGACUGUUUUGGUGUAACAAGAUUGCGAUCCUACCCUACCUCGACACGCGCAUCAGAGCAGGAUAGACAGAGAGUGUACACACAGCAUUCCAUAAGGUCCGCCCUUAGUGCUCCUACCUCUAGGCUCUAGGGAUCCGUUCCCAGCCCGUCCUCGCCAACUACGAUCGCGCUAAUCAAGUUAACGAAGCUGGAGUGAGCCAGCCAAGUCAAGCCGGAGCUUUAAGGAGAGCUCUUAUUGUAUUGAUCAUCAUCUUUUAACCCACAGUGAUCCAUCCGCAUUUCUUAUGUCUGUUAGCACGUCAUAUGGCGUGACAUGCAGGUUCCGAGCCGCCGGUUCCUUCGGCGGUCCCUGCCCUUUGCCGAAGGCUCUGUCAAGAGCUCCGUAGCACCCGUUCGGUGCUACAGCAGACUUUCAGAUAAGUUGACAGCUCUCUUUACCUGGCGACGUGGUCUGCCUGAUCUGGGUCAGGAUAGUUGGAAAUGGAGCAGUCUAGGCGAAGUCGUUGGGGAUUGCCCUCCGCUAUCGAUAUGACCAAUGGAACUGUCCCGCCACCGCCUAUUGCCCUGAAUAACAAUGAUCAAUUGAUAAAUAUGAACAAUCCCUCAUCCGCUGUUCCGAUUCCUGCAGUGGAACACAUCGCGGGUCGCGCCACCGGGACGACCGCCGGAACAACGANN